Magallana angulata is the source of this 322-nucleotide long non-coding RNA. RefSeq lists it as uncharacterized. The transcript is spliced from 3 exons. The record is from RefSeq and is a predicted model, not a curated record. NCBI's taxonomy places the organism in Eukaryota, Metazoa, Mollusca, Bivalvia, Ostreida, Ostreidae.
CUCACAGACAGUGCAACCAUGAACUCAGUGUGCAGCGUUAUCCUGUUUGGAUUUUUAGUAACAGGCUUAAAAGCAGCACCAUGGAGUGCAUGGAGUGGUUAGGAACGUUGCAGCGUGACCUGUGGGACAGGUGUAAGAUACUCCCGUAGAACCUGCUUGACUUAUAGAUCCGGCACAUGUGAGGGGUCGUCUUUCAGGACCACACAAUGUCGAUGCACACGCGAAUGUCCACCAGUCAACGGAGGGUGGUCAAGCUGGCAAAAUUCAUCUGCGUGCAGUGUCACGUCUGGCGGAGGAGUUAGAACAAGGACUCGAACUUGUA